UCAGACGAUGCGUCAUGCAUAUCAAUAAGCGGAGGAAAAGAAACUAACAAGGAUUCCCUCAGUAACGGCGAGUGAAGCGGGAAGAGCUCAAAUUUGAAAUCUUGAAAGGUCACCUUUCACGAAUUGUAGUUUAAAGAAGUGUUUUCUGUUACGAUCGUAAUAUAAGUUCUUUGGAAUAGGACAUCACAGAGGGUGAGAAUCCCGUCUAUGAUUGCGAUUUGUAGCUUUGUGAUACACUUUCAAAGAGUCGGGUUGUUUGGGAAUGCAGCCCAAAACGGGAGGUAAAUUUCUUCUAAGGCUAAAUAUUGGCGAGAGACCGAUAGCGAACAAGUACCGUGAGGGAAAGAUGAAAAGAACUUUGAAAAGAGAGUUAAAUAGUACGUGAAAUUGUCAAAAGGGAAGCGUUUGACACCAGUGUUGUUUUCUGAAAAUCAACCUCUGUUAGCUUUAUGCAUGUUUGUUUAGACCUAAUCAGCUAUCUUGCAUGUUCUAUUGUUUGCAGUGGUGCACUUUUCAGUUUACAGGUCAACAUCAGUUUUUUUUACCGUAAAAAAGUUAAAGAAAGGUAGCUCAUGGCUCCGGUCGUGAGUGUUAUAGUCUUUUUCCUAUGCGGUAGGAGAGACUGAGGUCUGCAAUGUAGGCUAUUUGGCUAGAUACUCAGGUGCUAUGUGAUACCAUUUCAUAAACAACUUGUUGAUUAUGUUUUGUCUAUUGCAUACUCGCUUGUACUAUCAUACCUACGCUUAGGAUGUUGACUGAUAUGUAGUCGUA
Molecule: ribosomal RNA, 771 nt
Filed under: uncultured Neocallimastigales
Lineage: Eukaryota; Fungi; Neocallimastigomycota; Neocallimastigomycetes; Neocallimastigales
Description: partial large subunit ribosomal RNA
Rfam family: Eukaryotic large subunit ribosomal RNA
Source: RNAcentral